Lipotes vexillifer (Yangtze River dolphin) is the source of this 72-nucleotide non-coding RNA. NCBI's taxonomy places the organism in Eukaryota, Metazoa, Chordata, Mammalia, Artiodactyla, Lipotidae. The record is from the annotation of a RefSeq genome assembly.
UCCCUGGUGGUCCAGUGGGUAAGACUCCCGCUCCCAAUGCAGGAGGCCAAGGUUCGAUCCCUUGUCGGGGAA